This 255-nucleotide ribosomal RNA is filed under the name uncultured bacterium. RNAcentral describes it as "partial 16S ribosomal RNA". It matches the Rfam family "Bacterial small subunit ribosomal RNA", at positions 524 to 777 of the family's 1533-position model. The record is from RNAcentral.
UACAGAGGUCUCAAGCGUUGUUCGGAUUCAUUGGGCGUAAAGGGUGCGUAGGUGGCGCUGUAAGUCAGGUGUGAAAUUUCGGAGCUUAACUCCGAAACUGCAUUUGAUACUGCGGUGCUUGAGGACUGGAGAGGAGACUGGAAUUUACGGUGUAGCAGUGAAAUGCGUAGAGAUCGUAAGGAAGACCAGUGGCGAAGGCGGGUCUCGUGGACAGAUACUGACACUCAACUACGAAAGCGUGGGUAGCAAAGCAGG